RNAcentral lists this long non-coding RNA (23210 nucleotides) under Musa acuminata (dwarf banana). Its description in RNAcentral is "long non-coding RNA (MACU_LNC003099)". The record is from RNAcentral. Lineage: Eukaryota; Viridiplantae; Streptophyta; Magnoliopsida; Zingiberales; Musaceae.
CUCAUCCUUGGUUAACAUACACAAGCACAGAGAAUUUAAAAAGGGUAAAACGCUGUUGUAAUCUCUUGUGAAAAUCCUCCUCUUCUAGUCUAAGUAUUAAAAUAGUUUGAGAGAGGAGUGAGUGCUUGUAAGGGUUGUCUCCUAAACUCAGUAAAAAGAGAAAAGGGGUGUAAGAAGGAUAUUGAUCUUCGUCUAUUAAAGGAAGAUCGAUAGUGGAUGCCAAUGGCCUCGACGGAAGAGAAAUCAGAGGAGUGGAUAUAGGGUACGACGAUCGAACCAUUAUAAAUCGGUUUGCAUUUCUGUUUUGCUAUUUAUCUUAACUGCAAACUGCCUUCCUUUACCUCAACUAUACUUCUGUAUGCUUUUAAUUUAAAGAUCUUUCCGAAACGGUUUAUAUUGAAAUCAGAUUUUAUCGUACGAAGGUUUUUCAAAUCGACAUAAUUUUUACCGUUAAACUAAUCUUUUCCUAACAGAGUCAGAUCCAUUUGAUUAACCCAUGAAUCAGUUCCUCCUUUCUCUUUCUUGUUUUUUCAUCCUAUUUUAUUUUUAAUUAUCUUUUAUUGUUCCCUCCCUCGUCUCAUUCUCAUUUGUCUCGGACUCUUUACGAUUUAUCUAUAAAAUUUAUUACAUUUGAGUUACACUCAAAUAAUAGUUAAGUUAUAUUCAUUCAUAUAAUUUAUUUAAAAUAUAUUAUUUUAUAUAAAAGUAUUUUAAAUUUAUCAUAAAAAAAUUAGGAGCAUAUUUUAGUAAAAUUAUCAAAGUUGUGAUAAUUUUAUUUUAAAAUUAUUUAAUUUUUAAAAAAAAUAGGAUAGAUGAUUUAGUUUAAGUUAGUUCAGUUUGAAGUGCCAUUAAGCCAACAUAAAAAAUAUAAGAUAUAAGAUAUUAUGAUUAGUUUUACGAAGAAUAAUUGUAUAUAAAAAUUAAUAUAUUUUAAAUAAUAUCUUAAGUUUUUUUAGUUUCGUAAUAAUUUUAAGAUAAUUUUAUACCUUAAUUAAUCCAUUUAGAGCUGAACGAGUUAAUCCAUUUUUAUGCACGAUUACUAAUCCAAAAAAAAAAAGAAGAAGAAAAACUUCAUCACCUGCCAUUGAUAAUGUGGUCAUCAAUGACUGCUAUUUUAAGCGAGUCAUUUCAUCAAAUACUCUGUCUACGUUGUCUACCAACUUAUACGUUUGACUUCCCUUGAACGAGGCGAUACGGUACGUCACUGUCUCGGGAUGCCAAACCCAUCUGAUACGUCAACCGAUCAUAACGAAGGGUCUCAACAGUCGUCCACAGAGACGACGGCGACCGUCUCGUCGCGCAGUCAUUUCCGUGCUGCUUUCUCGUUCUAAUAAUAAACGAGUGAAUUCGCGUGUAGUUUUCGAGGUAUUCCCCACCCCGCUCCCUCCUUUGACGAAGGGGCGAAUCCGUGCCAUGUUUUCGACGCAGCUCGGCGUGCUCGGUCGCUCGACGAUUCCACAGCGCGCCUUGGAAUUCGUGGGCCAGGAGAGGAGGAGGAGGACGUCAGAACUGAGAACUCCACUUCGACUGCAGGUUACUUGUGCCAGACCAGAGCAGAGAGGUGAACUCGCCACGGUGGGUCCUCCCCACCGUCAGAUCCAAUUCGUAGGCGGUGGAUUUUGUCGCGGAAUCACGGCGUCGCCAUGUGUUUAGAAUCCAAAGCUGGAUUUGAUCGAGUAAUCCGGUCGGCACCUUCGUUCGUUCUCGCUUUGGUUUGGGGAUGGCAAAGAUAAAAUUGGGCGCUUUCAUCUUCUUCUUUCCUUUUCCUGUGUCAUCUUCCUCUGUCUGACUUGAACAUUUCUUUCUUGAUCCUUCCUUCGGUCUUCUUUGGGCGGCUCCUCGUUUCCCCGGUCUUCUGCGAUCGCUAUCCGCAUCUACAUUGGCAGUUCUCGACGCAUCCGGGAGCACCACUCCGCCUCUGUUUCUCUCUCCAUAUAAACGAAAGAGGAAGAUCCGUGUAGCCAUGGCGGCCAACAAGUUCGCGACCGUCUUGCACAGGAACGGCAACAAGAUAGCGGUGGUACUCGCGUACGCCGUCCUGGAAUGGACCCUCAUCCUGCUGCUCCUGCUCAACGGGCUCUUCGCCUACCUCAUCGCCCGGUUCGCGGACUUCUUCGGCCUCAAGCCCCCCUGCGUCUUCUGCUCCCGGGUGGACCACCACUUCGAGCACCGGGCCGAUGGUCGCGGACGCCGCCAGCGUGGCGCCUGCCGCGACCUACUCUGCGACGAGCACGCCGCCGAGGUCGCAGGGAUGGGUUACUGCGCCCGCCAUCAGCGGCUGGCGGAGGCCGGGGAUAUGUGCGAGGACUGCUGCCCGUCGUCGUCGCGGCCCGUGGAGGCCGCGGUACUGUCUUGGAUGAAGCGGAGCGAGGAGGGGGCGAAGGAUCUGCGGUGCUCGUGCUGCGACGUCGUCAUCGAGAGCGGAUUCUACUCGCCCUACCUCUUCUUCAAGCCUUAUUGGGACGUGUCGGAGAAUGACCAGAAGGGGAAUUCGGUUGAGGAGAUUGCGGUGGGCGAUCGCGAGGAGGGUUUCGAGGAAGACGCCAUCUUUGGUCGAGAAAAGGUGAAAAAGUGGGAGUUGGUACCUCCAGAUCCAUCUGAUCGAUGCCAUGAAAAGGAGGAGGAUGAUGAAGAAGAGAAGGUGGGAAGAAAGGAGGCAACGUGCGCUGCCGAUUCAGAGAGGGCGGCGGAGGAACAAGAAGAAGAAGAGGCCCUCAUCCAAUUCUCCGACGCCUGCUGUUUGGUAGACGACCCUUCCUUUGAAGUCCUCACUCGGCGUCUGGGAAACAUAUGCGAUGACGAUGAGGAACGGUUGGUUCCGGUACAGCUGAUCGACUCUGCAACCAUGACUAAGAGCCCUGCUUCGUUUGUGCUCAGUAAACAACGCCAGCAAGAGCUUGGGCUUGUUGGAGGGGAAAAAGAUGGCGGGGUAGUCGACAUCGGAAGCAUCGCAGAGGAGAGGAAACCGGUGGCUUUCGCUGCAGAGAGGACUGAUGCCAUGGCUCUUGAUAUCGGGAGCAUUACAGAGAAAAAUGGAUUGGAUUCUUUUACAAAGAUGGCUGAUAUUGUUGAAGUGAAUCCUUUGGGGAAUGUUGGAGCUGUGCAAGAAGCAAAAGUUCUUGAUGUUGGAUGCGUUAUGGAAGAGGUGAAACCAUUGGCCUCAGAUGCAGGGAGCGAUGAUAUCUUUGGAGAGAAUUGUUCUGUUGAUGUUGCAGCAGACCAACAUGCUGAUGAUGUUGACAUGAGAAGCAUGGCGACAGAGGUCUCUGCCGGAGAAGCAGCUGAUACUGUUACGGAUAAUUCUUCCGACAUACACGAAGCUCAACAAUGUGCCAUGACUGUUGAUGAAAGAAGCAUAUCAGAGGAAAAGGCAUUGCCCUCUUCUAAACAGAAAGCUGAUACAAUUGAAGAGAGUUCUUCUGAGAUGGAUGGAGCCCAACAACUCACCAUAUCAGGAGAGGAAAAGGCAUUGGCCUCUCCCGAAGAGAGGGCUGAUACCAUUGUAGAGAAUUUUUCUGAGAUGAAUGGAGUUCAACAAUGUGAAAUCACUCUUGAUACAGGGAGCGUCUUAGAAGAUGAAAAGAUACCAUUGUCUAGGAUGGAAGGGGAUGAUAUCGUCAAACAGAAUUCCAUAUAUCUUCAUGCUUCAUCUGAUCAUCAAACCAUUGCUCCUCAAGCAACAUCAGUUAGAUCACUUGAAGAUGUUGUUCAAGUGGAAUCAUUAAGGAGCGCGGAAGAUCUUCCUGAAACAAAAGGUAAGAUGAUUCACUUUAGGAAAGCAAUUUUAGUCCUUAUUUUGUUGAUAUAGUUAAUCAUAUUUUAUGUGCUUAUCAAUAUUGCUAUCUUCUUGUUGUAAACAUACAUUUUAUUGAUGACUAUAGAUUUUGAAGAAGACAACAAAUUGAUCGAUGUGGACACUGGUUGUGGAAUAUCUACAGGAAGUGAGAUAUGCAACCAGGAAAACAGUGAUCAUGCACAUCCUCUUGAGCCAAUUUUAUUGUCAGAAAGAUCAAAAGAUCAACUCUCAGAGAGCUAUAAUGAGAUGACUACUAUAGACCAAGGUACCAGCUUCAGAUCAUCGCUUUUAUGAAUCUUCAAGAUAAUCAAAUUUUCAUUUUCAUAUGACCGCACGGUCAUACGCUUAACUCUUAUGUGCUAAUUAUUGCCUCCUCUUUGUUGAAGAAAUAUUGGUUACUGAAACUGAACCAAUGGUGGUGACUGCUGCACAAAGGCCAGACCAUGUUGCUGUGUUUGCAGACAAUAAUGAGAUUGAGGAGGAGAGAGUACCUGAGACGCCAACUUAUCUUGAUGGUAUUCAUGGUUUAAUUAAAAGUUUUUUUCUUGGAAGGAGAGAAUCGGGAACAGAGUCUCUAGAUGGAAGCGUUGCCGGUGAGUUUGAAGGAUGUGAUACAUUGACCGUAGAUCAGCUUAAAGCUGCUUUGAAGGCAGAACAAAAAGCUCUGAGUGCAUUAUAUACUGAGCUUGAGGAAGAGAGAAGUGCCUCUGCCAUUGCUGCAAACCAAACAAUGGCAAUGAUAACCAGGCUUCAACAAGAGAAAGCUGCUAUGCAGAUGGAAGCAUUGCAAUAUCAGCGGCUGAUGGAAGAACAGUCGGAUUAUGACCAGGAAGCAUUGCAACUUUUAAAUGAGCUGAUGAUGAAGAGGGAGAAGGAGAAACAAGACUUGGAGAAGGAGCUAGAAGUGUACAGAAAGAAAAUUCUUCGAUACAAGGCCAAGGAGAGGAGACAAACCGCAAAGCACAAGGUCAAUGGUAUUGCUGGAACAUUCUCUACUUCAUCAAGUGCUGAAGACAGUGAUGAUCUCUCCUUCGAGGUCCAUGAAGGGAACGGGUUUGCGUAUGAUCCUGAUGAAAACAAUCAAAAUACUCUUGUUGAUGAUGUGUUAAGUUCAGGGGCAAAUCAAGGCACUGCAACGCAUACAAUCACACUUAGGGAAUCGUUGGAUGAUUUUGAGGAAGAGAGGCUCUCAAUACUUGAGCAACUCAAGGCAUUGGAGAGUGAACUUCUGACAUUGGAUGAUGAAGACUCUCAUGAUUCAGAUGCCAUAGAGCAUAUUACGGAUGAAAGUUGUCAUGUUUCAAAUGGAAAUUAUGGACCUUCAGGUGAUGAUUUACAUGACGAUGCAAAUGGUUUGUCAGUUGAUCUAGAGGCUAGCAGGAACCUACAUGGUGAACAAAGAUCCUCGGGUUGUAACGGGAAGAGGCUUCUUCCUCUCUUUGAUGCCAUAAGCGAGGAAAACGAGGCGGCAGUUGAUGCUUCAACUAAAACAAAUUCAUAUCUUGCAGAGAAGCAAAAGAAGCUUGCAAUUGUGGAAGAGCUCGAUAACAUCCACGAGAGACUGCAUGCCCUCGAGGGUGAUAGAGAGUUUAUCAAACAUUGCAUCGGUUCCUUGAAGAAAGGAGACAAGGGAAUACAUCUUCUUCAAGAGAUAUUAGAGCACCUUCGUGAUCUGAGGAGCGUGGAACUCCGAGCGAGGAACUCAUGCAAUGCUCUUGUUUCAUUGAUGGCUUAGUAUGCAAAUGAUGAAGGUAAUUUGGUUCGUCUCAUACCUUCAAUCAUCACAUUCUUUAUGGUACAGCAAUAAGCUGCUUAUUCAUCGGACUUGAGUUACGGUUUGCUACUUGUAACAAUUUUCCUCUACAAUUGUACUCUCCACUCCAUUCGACAUAAAGAAAUGUGCACCUAAUAGAUGUUCCACAUGCAUUCACUCACACUCACACCUAACGCAAAGGACAAAGACACAUAAAAUGUCCCCCUUCUCGAAGCCAUCUAUCUGGCUGAUAUUAUCAUUAUGGCGACAUUGAUUAUAAUAGCUUUGAAAUCAUUGUACUACAGCAUUAACUCUGAAUUAAUAUCUUUGACAGAUGGAGGCUACAUUAUUGGAGUGUGUUCCAGCGAGGAAGAUGGUCACACCAGGUGAAAUUGAGCUCCUGAUAUCUGUAUUUUGUUGGUGUCUUUGCAAGUGUAUAGAAGCAGACAAUGGAUGGAAGCUGCUUCUCCAGGCUAAGUUUUUUGUGGGCCAUUUCUCUGUUUUGUUUCCUUCUAUUUUUUUUGUUGUAGGGGUCCAUCACCAUUGCUGUGGAGCAAAGGGGGAUGAGGCAAAGAGGGGUGGUUGGGCAGCCACUCACAAUGUGAUUGUGGCAGAAAUCAUAGCUUCCAAAGCUGUACAAAGUCAUAUAUAUUUAUAUAUACAUAUAUAUUCCAGUGCCAGCUCCAAGUCCAGGUAUACAGCAGCAUAAAAGAGAGAGAGAGAGAGAGAGAGAGAGAGAGAGAGAGUAGUGNNNNNNNNNNNNNNNNNNNNGAGAGAGAGAGAGAGUUGCAUUUGUUCUUUGUUUUCUUUAACUUCUUUCCUAGAGAGGGAAAGUGGUAGUUGUAUGAUGAUGUUUGAGGAAGGAUUUGAAAUAUAUAUUACAUGUUUUACAUGCAGUGUCCCUCAAGGACAAGAUGUGGUCCUUGAGAAUGUCUUUUGAUACUUUCCACAUGCAAUUAAUUAAUUGUAAGCACAGAUUAGUGAGUAAAUGAUGCUCCAUAAUGCUCACUAGUUGUUCCUAUCAAGACCACAGACAACCUGGCCGCUUAUUACCUAAUCUCAUGGUUGGCCCACCAAAGGAAUAGGUAAUGCCAUUGGGGUUGUCUUCUCCUUGCUUUCAGAGUUGUGCACACCAAACUCACUGUUAGGGUUUGGGAAAGAAGCUUGGAAGAGAGUAGGCCUCUAACUUUAUAGAGAAAAAGAUACUAGAAGAUUAAAUAUAAUAAUUAUUAUUCUUCACCACCUUUCUCUCACCUUAUAUAUAUAUAUAUAUAUAUAUAUAUAUAUAUAUAUAUAUAUAUAUAUAUAUAUAUAUAUAUAUAUAUAUAUAUAUACUUAUUGUUGAAUUCAAUAUUUGAAUUAUGAUGUCAUAGUGCAAAUGAAUAAUCUAAAUGCUUGUGAUACAUCAAACUUAUAAAGUAUUAUCCAAUGAAGAUAGUGAUAUAAUAGUUUGAAUUAUAUAUUAAUGAAAUAAAAGGGAAGAUUUGAUAGCAUGAUAUGUUCCCACAUAGUGACACAAUUUUGACCACAAAAUGACACAUGUUUAAAUUGUUAAGAAGGAACACUUUUAGCAGAUGAAACGUACCAAUUGCUUAUAUGUUUGGACUCCUUAUGAAUCAUGUUUUGCUUUAGAAUUGAUCAUUGGUGAGUCAAAAAUAUAAAUCAUUUCAAGGCCAUGGUUGACCCGAUACCUAUUUUGGUGGUGGAUGAUCAACUUCACAUUCACCAUCAAUCAUCAUCACGAUUCUUUUCGCGUGACGUGCAUCAAAGAAUGUGUACAAACACAAACAAAUUGUUUCAAAUAAUACUUUACCCUCAUGUAAAGUUAAAAAGGAUUUAGAAUCUAAUAUAUAUUUUUAUUUUAAAUAAAAUAAUAACUUGAGCAUUAAAGGAAUCUCGUCGGUCGAUCGGAUGCUUCCGAUAUAUUCGUAGAAGACUUCUCGAGAGUUCAUGAGAUAACUCAUAUGCCAACCAUAAUAAUUCCUUAAUAAAGAAUUGAUCAAGUCGACUCGACCCUUUCAUUUUAGAAUGAUGAUCGAAUUUUCCACUAACAGCUCAUUAGGGGUUUGUUUUUGGGUUAAGACAUUGUGAGCUUUUGUGGAUUGGGUGGUUUUUCUCGCCAUAAGGCAUUGUGACGUAUAACUAAGGAGGCCCAAAGGCCCAACUUUAUUUGGUGAAUUAAACAUGCGUUAUAUUCUUUAUCUAAAUACUAAUAAAUUAUGUUAUAAGUUUAUAUUUAGUGAUGUCAAUGUGAUAGGACACGACGAGAAAUGCUUCUUCUAUUAUCAUCCCCUGUACUGGGAAUCCUUAUUAGGGGUGGAUAACCUUUGGUAUUUUCGUAUCUUCAUAAUUAAUUCAUUCAUUCAAUUUAAGAAAAUAAAAUUAUCAUUAAACUUAAUUAAUAAUAUUAAAUUUAUAUAUAAUAAAUGAUAAAUAUAUUUAAAUAUAAAUAGAAUCAAAAUUAUCAUGAGAGAUUAGGGGAAGAUGGAAGAGGAUCAAGAAAAAGCAAUGGGAGAGGAGCCUACAACACGACAACUAAUGAGACAGGGUCGUAGGGUGGGUGGGGAUGAUUGCGAUGAGGGGGUGGGGGGCAUUAUGAUGAAGAGAAAAGUAGAAAAACGAAGGGAAGAUAAGAAAAUAUGUGAUGGAAAAAAAGAAGAAUACUAAAGAAUCAUUAUUUUUAUUCACUAUUCAUCCUUUGUUAUGAUGAGAAACUAUUAUUUGUCAACGAAAAGAGGAGGAUCAAUGAAGACAAAGUCAAACAACCAUCACAACGGUCAAUUAACGUAUGAGGUCAGGAUGAAGAGUUCUUCUUGUUAAAUGAUAAGAUGUUUCAUUUGAUUCAAUUAAGUCAAAUAAUUCUUAAUUAAAUUAUGAUUGAUUCAAUUAAUAUUCAUCUAGUUUAAUUUGAAUAAAGAAAGUUUAACAUGUUUAGAAUUUAGGCUUAGCAACUUUGUCAACAUAUUAAUGAGUAAAAAAAUAAAAAAAAGCUCUACCUAUCAUUAUCCCAUAUUCAUGUGAGUAAUAUAAAAUGCCCUUCUUCCCAUCUAAUCUCACGAAAAACAAGAGUGCAUGCAACAUUCCUAUUUAUAUUAGCAACUUCAAUUAGUUUGAUCUCAUCAUCACUAUAUUCUCAUGGAUGCAUUCAUGUGUUUUAAUCCGACUAAACCGAAGUUUAGCCAAAGCCAAUAUUUGACCAUAAAAUAUUUCCAUGAAGAUAUAAUAAAUCGACUAUGUUUUAAAAUGUUACCUUAGUGCUUUCUUCAUAUUAUUUUUGGCUAAACUUUGGAAAUAAUGCAUUUAUCUCUUUAAAUUUUAAAACAACAUAUACAUUUUAUUUUAUUAAUAAUAUUCAAAUUAAUCAUAUACCACUUAAUAACUUAAGAUUAAAGUAUAUUAGAAACAUAUAUUAUAUAAUGAUAGUUCAAUCAACAUGAGGAGGAUAAGAAAAUAUUCAACUCAUAUCUCAAAUUUUUUUUUAAUUAAAUUGAUUAUAAAAACCUUUCAAAACAUAUCAAUUGAGAUCAGUAAUAAUUUACUAUAGACUUAUACCCCGAUUGAUUAAGAUCACAUCAAAAAGACCUAUAUGAUCUUAGAUUUGGUAUAUUUUUUUUUAGCCACAUCAAUCUUUUUAAGCAUGUGGACCCAAUAGAGUUGAGCUCAUCUAAACAUCAUUAACAUCUAUCACAUCACAUAAUUUUUUAAUAUUUUAUUCUUACCAUAAUAAUAAUAUUUUAUUCUUAAAGAUUUUAGAAACUUCAUAUAAUAUAAUCCAAUAAUAAAAAUUUAAUAUUUAAAGAAAUAAAAAAAUUAUUUUAGAACCACGCAUAAUAUAUUUUGAUUUAAAAAUAAAAUUUAAACAUUUAAUGAAAUCAAAGAAAAUUUUAAAUAUUUAAUGAACUACAUAUAAUAUAUAAUUCCUCAUUUCUUUUGUUACUAGAUUUAGAUUUAAGUUGAUAGGAAUGAAGAAGAAGAAGAAGAAUCUCUCCUCGUUUGUAUAAGAAAUAUAAUUUUUUUUUAAUUUUUAUAUUUAUUUUUUAUUUAAUGUACUAACAAAAAUAAAAAUCAUCCUACUUAAAAUAUUAAAUAAUUAAUUUAUAAAAAAAUUAAUAAAUAAAAAAUCAUAACCUAAAUUACAGUCCCAACCGAGCUCAUCUAAACAUUAUCACAUCACAUAAUAUUUUAUUCUUACCAUGGUAAUAAUCAAGUGUAGGGUUUCAUUCAAUCAUUGCUUUAACAGUCCAACAAUGGCUAAAAUUUAAGGAUAUUUAUUUUUAUUUAAUGCUGAGACUUAACAUUUAAAGAAUAAAUAUAAAAAUUAACUUUAGAGGGCUAUUUGUGUAAUUUUCCGUUUAACUUCCAUCCCACCAUUUAACUACGGAUUCGGAUCCAGUCGUAUCCGAACCCAAUAUGCGACCACCGUCUCUAUGUUUUAACAGAUGUUAAAAAGCAGUAAACGGGGCAAGUCCGAUCCGAUUGCCGUUGAAACCCACCACCUCUUCUCCUCCGUCUCUGUCUCUCUCUCUCUCUCUCGCGUCCCCAACUCGCAACUCCGAUCCAGAUGAAUGCAGCCAAUUCACAACGCCGAUCUCUCAAUUAGCAGCGGCAGCAGAUGAACUGUACAUAAGAUCGGGAGUGGCAGAAGGAGGAGGCUCCGAGCCUGAUCCGUAUGGAGCGGUUGCCGUCGGUGUCGCUGAGGCGCGACCCCGCGGGGCCGCGGCCGAGCGCGGACCCGGAGGCGCUGCGGCGAUGGGUGGUGGCCUUCUGUAUCAUCCGCUUCGACCUGGAGCAGGGGCAGCUGGUGGAGGAGUGCUUCCCCCCGGACUCCCUCCCUCACCACCAACUCCUCCUCGUCGCCUUCUCCUCCUUCCCCGACUCCAUGUCCCACCACCACCUCAACCCCAACACCGCCCACCGGCCCUCCUCCUCCUCCUCCUCCUCCAUUCACGACUGCAUCUUCUCCUUCCGUUUCCCAGCCGCCGCCGCCGACGGCGGCGACUUUCUCUACGGAUACGUCUUCAACCGCCGGCGGCAGGACGAGCGCCUCCCGCGCGGUGGCGAGCAGAAGUCGGUCGUCAUCCUCUCCCGCUCCCCAUACUCCUCCGUCUUCCGGCCGCUUCUCCAGAUCCUCGGACCCCUCUGCUUCGACAUCGGCCCCUCCGCUCUCGGCCUGGUCGCCUCCCACGUCGCCGCCUGGCCGGCCCCCGCCCCGGGCGCCCCCAUGGACCUCCCGAUCGGCAGCGCCGCCCUUCGCGUGCACCUUCCCCCGGCCCUCUAUGACGCCGCCGCCCCCUUCCCUCCCGCCAACCCAUCCGUCCCCCACGGCCUCUUUCACGACGCCGACAUAUUCGGAAGCUUCCGCGGCCUCCUCCUCCACCUCUGGACCCUGUGGGAGUUGAUGCUCGCUGGCGAACCUCUCCUGGUGAUCGCCCCAACUCCCCCGCAAUGCUCUGAAGCAGUCGCCGCCCUCGUCAGCCUCGUUGCACCGCUCCCGUUUUCCGUCGACUUCCGGCCCUACUUUACCAUCCACGACCCCGGCUUUGCCCGGCUCAAUUCGCUAGGCGAAGACGAGGAGUUCCCCCCCAUGGUUCUCGGAGUGACCAAUCUCUUCUUCUUGAAGGCCCUGCGGAACAUCCCUCACGUCGUCUCGGUGGGCAGUCCCGGGCCUAAUACCGGCCGUGCUCUUCCUGUGGCCAGCCGUUCGGCCUCGACUGGGAUGCCCGGAAGGAACUCUCGGCCUGGAAAGCUCAACCUAGAGCAGCUCUCGCUGAACAAGUUUUCCCCCUCGGGCUUGUUGAAUGCGAUGAAGCUAAGGAGGGAGGGCCCUCUUUGCCUCAUGACGGAGCACAAGGAAGCUGUUUGGAGCACUUAUACAGCGACGACGAAGCCAGACACCGCCAUUUUGAACAGGCUAAUCGAUUCUCCAAGGAUUGAGGAGUCCAUGUCUGUUGCCAACAAUGAGAUAUUGCGGCGGCACUUUCUGGAGCUAACAACCAAUUUCCUUGCACCCUUCGGUCCCUAUCUAAGGGCAACCACCCCUUCAAAGGGAACUUCCCCUUUUGUCGACCCGCCACCCUUGCCUCCGUUUCAUGCUGAUGAGUUUCUCAGUGGGCUGGCCACAAGAGGGCCAGGGAAGUUCUUGUCAAAGAGGAUGAGGUCCAAUUGGUUGGAAUUGUACAGGUGAUAGUGCUGUUGAUGAAGUUUAGUAUCCUAGGGAUAUUUCCACUUGAUAUCAUCACCACUCUGUAUUUGACUUCAACUAAUUUUGUUUUACAUCAGGUCCUUCUUGGAAGGACAAAAUUUCAUGCCCUGGUUCCAUAGAAGGCGUGCUGCUGCAGAGCAAGAGCAACAUAGGCUAUGGAGGCAGGCUCGCAUGAGCACUGACAUGAAUAAGCUUAUAUCUAAAAUGUCCGAAGUGGAGAUCGUUGAUUCUUUUAAUGCUAUUGAAAGACAUUUGCUUGCAGAGAUACAGGUUUGUUCUUUUGAUGUUUGAUAAUGGUUGGUGAAUACUAAAUGUUAUGCUCCAUUUGAUAUGACUAACACAAUGUGAAAAAAUAUCUCAUGCAUUUCAUAUUACACUUGACAUGAAUUACUUUGAAAUGUUUUUACAGGAUCAGUUUUCAUCCAUUUAAAUGUUAAACCUGCAAUAAUGCAACUCAUCUGCCCUCAACUUAACAUGUUAAGUUGAUGAAGAAUAUGAAAUCAAAUGUAUAGAUGUACACGGAGCAUACAAUAUUUUAAUCCUUUCUUUAAUAUGUAUAGACGUCCAUCCUAACUGUGUUUUCUGCAUACGAUCUGGAUGCUAGGUUCCUUUUCUGACUAAUACCUUGAUAUGGACUCUAGGCUGAUAAUGGGCCAUGUGUUGUUGUAUCCUUUGGUCCUUGGUAGGUGCACGUGUGUGUGUGCUUGUGUUUUAAUAUCCGUAGAAUCUACUGUUGCUGUAGGAGUAUCAUGGAUAGAUGAUGCUGUUUAGACAGUUAAACAUAUUGCUAUCCAACUUUAUAGUUAAGUCAAGGUAGUUGCUUAAGUCAUGAUGCAUAUGAUACAACAAUUAAUACAAACUAACCAACAAUAAUAACAGUUUCAUAUAAAUUUGUGUUAAGUAGAACAAGAAGAAAAAUAAAAAACAACAGAGCUUAUCACUACUUUUCUCUGCUUUCAUCAUGAUCACUUUCUGAUCUAUGCCUUCUUUAAUUAAAGUGGUUGGCUUCUUUUCAAGACACUUCGUGACAUCUGAAUAUAUUGGAAGUCAGUUAUCAAUAUAUAUCAUGGCAUUUGAAUAUGUUGGGAGUACGGUAAGAGAACUUUCCUUAUCUUCAUUAUGCAAAGAUUGGAGCUUGCUGAAUCCACUCCUUUUUAACUUAGGAAGGGAGAUGUCUAGUAAAGCUCUCUCACGAAUUUCUAGUAAUUAUAGCCUUACUGAAUUUUAUAAUUUUUAUUAUUUUUGGAUGUAUUUUCGUUAUUAUUUUAAGUUGAUCUGUUGGAACUCUUUAAAGUCAAAGUUUAAGUCUAUUUGGCUUCCGAGUCCUAAAAUGAUUAUUAGCAUAGAUUACAAGAGUAAUAAAGCUAUUAGGAGUUGCUUUUGGAGACUGACAAUAUUCCCAUCAGUCCUAUUAGUAUAAGCCUUUUUUGGUAUGAUUAUGAGACUAUUUCUUUUAGGCAAUAAAAUCUGUAGAUCAGAUAGGCAGAUGCAAUAAAAUAAAAUAUGCAAUAAAAUAAGUUCUCUUGUAAACCUAGUCUCUUCAUUGCAUUGGCGAAUACCUUGAUACAAGUCUAUCAAUUAUGCUUAUUAAUAGUGUACCCUUUAGAUUCUCUAGAAUGUUUUUAUUGUUUAUCGUAUCUUUUUUACAUAUUCGUCUCAACAUGUUUAUCAUAGCUAUACUAUUUCUUUUCUUGACUACACUGUUUAACUUCUGGAAUCAUUCCCUAUCCUAUCAUGAUGAUAGUUGCUACCAUUUUAUUCUCCUCACUGAAAAUGUGGAAGAAUAUUUAUCAGAUAAUCUGUACCAGAUUGUUUAUCCCCCCUUUAGUUGUCUGCCAUCACUUGCCAACAGCAUUAUUGUCACCACUACCACCAUGUUCAUCAUUUUUCUCUUAACAAAGAGAAGAAACCUUUUCUGCCCCGAGAAAGUUUAAAGCCUCUUUAUUUUUCGUCUCUUUUCUUGACUGCCCAUCAUAAGCAUCAUAGUUGUUACCACCAUCACCACUCCCAUUAAGCAGUAAAGAAAAGCAGAAAAGUAUACAAGAAAUGUCUGCAUAACAUAUAUUAUCAUAAACAAUCAUGUAACAUUGGAUGAUUGAAAUUUUGAAGUGUUUUUUAUUGAUAUUGUAUUUUUUAUAUCAUAAUUUUCAGAGUUACAAAAAUUUGAAAUAAUAAAGGCAUUUUAUUUUUUAAUACAUGAUAUAUGCAACUAUUCAGUUGAUCAUAAGACAUUCAGUAAAUAUUUGAAUUUGUUAUCCUUCAUGAAUGUGGAUUUGUAUGAACUUCCAAUGCUUUCUUCAUAUGAGUUGUUGCAUAAGUUGGUGCAUUUGUUUUGAAUCAAGAAAUUCUAGUAUGUUUAUUAUUUCAACUUUUUGUGGUUGUAUCUCCUAAACUUCAGAAAUCAGACUCAUCUCUCAGUCCUGAACAUUACACCUUAUGUCUUAAUCCAGUUCCAGGAACAUAAAACUGCAUGAUCAAAGACAUAUUUUUGAAUUUUUAACUUACAAACGUUUACUUUAUGUAAAAUGGCCUUAUGGGCAACAUUUUUCUCAUUUUGUUUUCUGAUUCAAGAGGGUGGUUGUGUAUGGUGAUAACAGUUGUGAUGGCCAUAGUACUAGUUUUGGUGAGAAGCCAAGAGAAGAUGGAUCACACUUUGUCAUCUUGUUGUGAAAUAGUUCGCUCUCUGUCUCUUUUGAUUCCCAUUAAUGAUGUUGGUGAUGAUAGUGAUGAUAAUGGUGGUGGAAGGCGGAGGUGGUGGACCCUAAUAAUUUUAUAACUUACGUUUUCUAACUUCUGAUUGGUACCUUUGCUAAAACUACCAUUCUUUUGAGUUUUCGCUAGUGCUCAAGCUUUCUAGCAAGCUCUUUUUUCAAAGUUAUUUCUAUUAUUUACCCUUUCUAAUUUACUGUCCCUGCAAUUUCCUUUAGCACACAUGUGAAGUGUCUAAUUUUUCUUGUAUGGUUAUUGCAAAAUGCUGCGUCUUUUGAAUGUAGCAAGAAGUGCCUGACGAUAGUUGCUUUUACACAUAUGAAGAUUCUUAUCUACCUUCGUGACAACCUGACAAGCCUGUAUUCCAAUAUGUACUCUGACUAGAGAGGAGUGUUUUUUUAACAUCUUUCUUUCGGCAGUGUGUUUUAUGGCUUCACCUAAACAGGAAACGAAGUCUGUAAGUAGAUGACAGUAUAUAAUCAUAUUCUCUAAUACAAUAGAUCAUGUUAAGUAAUGGCAUGGUGGUGCCCUAGUAUCAUUUUAGACAUGCAUAGCCAUUCAACUUCCCUUAUGCACUGAUGGCAUGGUGGACUUGAUGUGAAUACGGUACAUACAUGCAUAUAUGUGUGAAAUAUACUACAGAAGUAGAGUGAAAUUCAAAAAAUAAAAAAGACAUCAGGACCUGGCAAUCUGCAGCCAUGAUCUGGUGGCCUGAUUAUGUGGUUACACAUCAAUAAACAAGAAUGUUGAAUAAAGCUCUCUAUGUGGUUGGACGUGAUAUCUUGACUGGAUUAUUCUUUGGUGAGCCUUGCUUGGAUUAGCUUUGGAUUGUCGAAAGCUCAUUCACAGCAGAAUCUAGGGGUUAAACAAUGAUUCUUGAUGUUAAUUUUUAGUUCCUUGCACUAACAUCCACGAGGUUAUCAUAUUGUUCUAGUAGUUCAUGAGCAUUUUGUAAAAUAUCUAUUUUAGCCUGAUGUAGAUGUUAAAUGAAGCAAGCUAGUUGCACCUGUGGGAGAAAGCUUGGUUCAACUUGUUAUGCUUAAGAAUAUGUGAGGUAAUCUGAUCAUAUGUUUUCUCAGGGUUCUUUAUUCUUUAAUAAUGCUGUAUGUACUUGUUCAUUCAUUAAUAUCUGUGCAACCAUCGAACAUGGACAAUUUAGAUAUGUGAUUGUCAAAUCUGAUAAAUACUGGACCCUGAUAUUAUUUAAAUCUUCAGAGGGACUUGGUCUGCUUGCUGAUAUUCAACAUUUUUUCCCCAUUUGCAGCAAUUGGGAGAUGCUAGCGAGGACUCUGCAGUAGUAUGCCAGAAGCUGAAAGGAGACCUUCGAGUGGUGUUUAAUGUUCUUCCCAAGGAUAUGCAACAGCUGCUGCUCUCCAAUCCCAAAAGAUCAGCUCUUCUUCAAGGUGACCCAGAACCAGGGAAGCAUCCUUCUGUACAGAGUAACCCAGUUGCUGAAUUGAAGUUCUCCUUCCUAUCUCUGUGAUCUUAGCAGCUACUUUCGAGCUUGUAUUACUUGUCCCUGCAUACGGAUCGUAUCGAAUCCCAGGUAUGCUCCCUUCUGUGCUGCACAAGGUCAAGAUUACUGGGAAGAGAGGGAGAAGAGACGGGAGGGAGGGGAUUGGGUUGAGUUAAUCAUGAGGGCCAAAUUAAGCUAUGCCUUUUUUUUUCUGUACCAUUUAGAAAUUAUGUGAUUUGUAUUCCUUCGUUCUCAGAAUCGAAGCAAUGUGCAAACUGGUAGCCCGUUGUAGGGACUAAAUUCUUUUGACCUGAUAAAGAAAGCUGUUUCUUAGAUUGGCAGCGCGUUGACUUAUUUGUUUGAUACAUCCCGUCAAUGGCGAGGCAAUUAGCUUCUCAUUUGUUGCUGUGAGUUGUGGUCCUUGUGGAAAUGCUAUUGUGGUAGAAUGAGUUGCUACUUCAGGUGUGAUGCGUUCAACCCACACAAAUAAAUAGCUUUGUUGCUCUAAGUCAGGCAUCUCAAACAUCCGAGCCAUCCGCUACAUUGUACUAGCUUUUGUGAAGAAUAGAAUUGUAAUCGAUGCAAAAUGUGUAUUAGAUUUGCAAGGUAAUAAUAGAAAAGGCAUCAGAGAAUCUAUUCGAGUCAAUGUAUAGAUGCAGUCACGAGGGAGACCCUUUAUAUAACUGUUUCGACCAUACAAAAGUCAACAGAUUUGGAUCAAUAUUAUCAGAUCCACUUUUACCAUUAUACCCAAAACCUAACAUAACUUUUGGUCAAUGCAGGGAGAGCUAAUUAAAUAUUAUUCCAUGUUGUUAGGUACAUUUAGUAAGUAUCCGGAUUUUUAUAUAUUGUUACGAAAGUAAAAUAUAUAGGUUUAUUUAUUCUAUCGUUGUUGAUUUUACAACAAAAAUAUGGCAACAAAGAGUAAAAAGAUAAUUUUAACAUUUCAAUUGGUGAUGACAGAUGAUGACGCUGUUAGGAACCGUGAGUGGUUAUUGUGAAUGAGGAGAAUGACAACGAGAGGUGAGGGUUACUUGGCAACUACGUCGACGAUGAAUACGAUGACGUACUCAACGUCAAAUUUCGAGACCAAUAUUUUUCUACUGUCGUCAGAUACAUCCAUCGGGAACUCAACAAUGGCUUACCUACCGACCUUCCAUAGCUUCCCUACCUAGUCGACGAUAACUGUGGUGAAUAGAACUCCUCUGACGAGCCCCUCAUCUCCCCUUUUUAUGCUCACGUUAGAACUGAUGCAACAAUGUGGGGAGUGGUAGGAGCUUUAACAACCUUAGCUUUGGGUCAAGUGAUCCACCCAACGGGUCAAUAGCAAGGUGGCUACCAUCUUCACCGAAGAUGUCACGACGACCACCAUAUGCGUUGACGUUGACGUAAUUAUUGAGCGUUCAAAGGGCCGCUCGACAUCUGUAUUAGCACCAACACAUAUGGCAAGCGACGUCUAUGAUGAAGAUGGUUAUCGCUUCAUCGCUAGCUCAUUGGGCAGAUCACUCGACCCAAAGUUGGGGUUGCCAUAGCUCCUAUCGCUCCCCUCGCUUUCGUGUCAAUUUUGACAUGGGCAUGAAAAAGGGGAGAUAGGGGGCUCGUCGGAAGAGUUUUGUUCAUUGUAGUUAUCAUCGAUCAGGAAGGGAAGCUCUAGAAGGUUGACAAGUGAGUAGUUGCUGGGCUCUCGAUGGAUGUAUUUAAGGAUGAUAGAAAAAUACGGGUCACAGAAUUCGAUGUUGGGUAUGCCAUUAUACAUGUCAUUGAUGUAAUUGUCGAGCAGCCCUCACUUCUCAUCAUUACUCUCCAGCGAUGUCGUCGUCCGCCACCACCAACUGAAAUAUUAAAAUUAUUUUUUAUGUUUUUAUUGGUAAAAUUGAUAACGUUAAGGUAAAUAAAUUUAGAUAUUUAACUUUCUUAACUAUAGAUGUCAAUAUAAUUUUUAAAAAUAUAAAAUUAAAAUAUUAAAAUAACUAACUAUAUUAGAUAAUAUAUAAUUAGCUCUUGUAGUGAUGAUUAUGGCUCAAUUUAAAUUGAAACCAAACUAGAUCAACGGUUCGAUGAUUCUGAAUUGAAUCAAAAUUAAAGCUAUAUGAUUCGGUUCUAAUUUAAUAAUUUUGAAUGGACCAAAUAUGAAAAAAAAAAGGGAAAAAUAUAAGAAUAUUUUAUAAUUUAUUAAUUAAUACUUUAAACUCAAAACUUAAUUUUUUUAAUAUUGAUAGAAUAAUUUAUUGAUUUAUUUAUUAUCAAUCGAAAUAGGAUGAAAUCGAAAUCUAAACUGGAAUCGGAACCGCCUGGUUCGGCUCCGAACCCAAAUUUGGCAGAACCCGAACCGACGGUCCCGGGACGGUCAUCCCCAGAAAUGGGGCAGGCGGGUAGGAUGGCUGGGAGUGGAAGUCCUUCUCUUCCCUAAUUUCCACCAUGGCCGCCCGACCGAGGCUUCUCCACCUGAGCUCCUCCUUCUUCUUCUUCACCUGCAAGCGUGGCGCCCGCUCCAUUUUCUUCCCUUCCCUGCUCCUCCCCUCUUCUCCUUCCCGCCGCCGCCUCCUCUUCUCCUUCCCCAUCGCACCAUCCCUCGCCCCCGGACACCCUCUUCCAGGGCCCCGAUUCCGUUCCUCCCCCUCCGCGGCGUCCAUCACCGUCGACGGUCCCCCCGUAAGCUUCGACGAUUCUUCUUCCGCCUCCUCCCACCACUGGCCCGAAUGGGAGCGGUUCCUCGGCAAGUUGAGGGGAAAAGGUUACUUCGAGGUGUCCACUUCGGCGGCUCCCUCAGGAGAUGUGGAGGAUGAGGGCUCGAGUGUCUCGGCGGGGCACGGUGGCUCGUCCGUGGAGGUGAACCAUGUCAAGAACGCAUGCCUCAAGUUUGCUCGCGGGCGGUUCAACAUCUUCAGGUCCUCCCUUUUCUUUUUCCAAGAGUAGUAUUCCUUUUUCCUUUUUCUUUUCCUUUCACUGGAUGAUUGCUUGAUAUCUUUUCUUGAAAAGGAAAGGUAGGCCAGAAGACACAAUUCAAUCCAUAUAAUAAUCAUAAAAUUUAAGAGAAACAAAAAGAUCAGAAGAUUAGCAUGUAAGAAAAGUUCAGAUAAUGGAAGAUUAAGAAGCGGGAAGAUUUGACCCCCAAGCAGUGUCAAGAAUUCAAAUCAACAUGAAUGUGCUCGAGUAGAUGCCUUCAUCAAAGAUGGUGUUCUUGAAAGUGAUUCUGUUUCUCAGGAGUGAUAUCUUUGAGUUUCUUGGGAUGUGAGAUAGGGUUGGAUUAGUAACUAGUUGGUAUCUUUGAGUUAAAAUGUAUUGGUAACCCUGAGGUUUAGCUACUUGUAUUCCACCUAAUUGAAUGCUAGGCGUGCGUAUCAAUGAAUAUCUGCUGUGCAUUGCUUUCUUGAUCUGAAUGUUCGUUUAGCAUUACACAUACCAUCAGGUCAUAGUUGUUCAUAGAUUUGUUGCAUUGUCCUAAUUUGUGUGUAAUAUUGGUCAAAGAUUUGCUGGCAUCUUUGUAUAUUGGUGCUUUUAUACUUUAAAUUACUGAUUAUGCUCAAUUUACUAUAAAAUCAACUUCAUUUUGAUGUUCAUGUUCUUUUCUUUUUUUGCUUCUUAUAAUAUAUUGUUUGAUCACUUCAUUGUGCAACUCUCUUCCUAGAUCAGAUAUUUGGGCUGUUGUGGAGUGUGGAUGCCCUAAUGUGUUCCGCAAAGCUGUCAAUUCAGCAAAAAGAUUGAGAGCAUUUCUCCAGGUUGAUGAACGAGACGUAAGUGCAUCUACUAAUUGCAGUUGCCACACUAAUUUACAAAUGUAAUGAAUGAUGUUUACUUGAGUGAAACUUGGAAAUUAUUGUUGUUGUUGAUCGAACCAUCGAAGCAAUGAUGUUUGAGUGUUUAUAUUUUAAGUGAUACGAUAAUCUAAAAGUUCAAUUAUGAUAUAGAACCAUUUCCACAGUCCAGUUGGAAUACCAUGAUCUUGAUUCAAGUUUCAUUCAGUGCUGCAGGUCUGUAGUACCUGCAACCUAAGAGAAUCUUGCGGCAAAGCAUACAUGACACCAUAUGAUGAUCGAGGCCAUACCUUGGAUGUAGUUCGUAUUUUAUUGAGCUAUGCAAUAAAUCCAAAGCAUCUUUGUGGAGAGGAAAUUUCUUGUAUCAAAGAACAUGUUCAAAAGUCUGCUAGACAUCUAUUAUUGGAGCUUGUUUAGCUUAGUGAUACAGCCAUUGAUCCAUCUGUUCCAAAACCUACAGUGAAGCCUUUUAUUCCAAAAGAACCAUCUCAAAAGGCCACUGGUAAGGGCGACAGGGCAGCUAAUGUGGAGAUGAAGAGAGGUUAUUGGUUGUGUCCAUAGUAAGUUAUUGUUGCUUCAAUUCUUACAAUUUCUAUGGCAUAUUUCAUCUUAUAUUCUGGUUCAUUUAAACUAGUUAUCGGUUUCAUUUAAACUAGCUAUUGAAACUUUGGCUCUUUAGGUGUCCCACAUGAGUUUAGUUGACAAAAUUUCAUGGUGCUGGAGAUACUCAACGAAGUUGUCUGUGGUGCAUUGUCUUCUUUUAUGUUUGUUUGUUCUAAUGGAAAUAACUAGUAAUCGUAACAAACAAGAUAAUUCGACAACAGAAACAGGAAGAAUAUGGGUGGAUAAUGGUAAAGGCUUUUCACAAAAUAAGAGUUGAUAAUAAUGUAAUACAAUGAAGAUCAUUAUCACUAAUGAAAAUUAUGAGUAAGGGUUGUCAGAGAAUGGAGGACACCUGAAAUUUUGGAAACUGAGCUUCCAGUCAGUUUUUUAUUGUUUCCACUCAUUUCUGCUAAUAUUCUGAAAAGGACAUGCAGUUGACAUUUGCAAAUUGGUUAGGCAGAUAAUUAUGUCAUCCUAACCUGUUGGUUAUUUGAGUUGUCUCAGCUCAACUUGGUCAUGACCAUAAAGCGAACCAGACCUCUUUUAUUGAAAUAGGAUGGUUGAUUUCCAUAGUCUUGUAUGCUCAACCAGACCCUGGUAAAUGCAUGUCCACUUUAUGUUCUGUUUCCUAGUCAUGUCCUACAAUUAGGGUCAAGUACUCCAACAACAAUAGUGAGAAAGGAUACAAAAGGUUGUUGCUUUACGAUUCUAAGUGGAACAUAAAUGCAUGUCCGGUUUGUGUUCUGCUUCCUAGUGAUGUCAUGUUCGGCUAUAAUCAGGGGCACGUACGACAGCAAUAGUGAGAAAUGAGACAUAAGGAUGUUGCUUUACAAUUCUAAAUGGAAAGCAAACGGUACAUGUGCAGUUCCAAAUUAUAGGGAACAGAACUUUUACUCUUUUUUGCUUACAAGUGUUGUGAUGGUGGUGAUAUUGGAAGAUUGCAAUAACAAAUUAGUUAUGGAGUAUAUUUUUGUUAGAAAUGUAUAUACAAGCAAUACAAAUUUUUUGGUGUAUAUCUCAUGCAGUUGCAACUUUCUCAAUUUCACCUGAAAUCUUUGCUGUCUAGAGUGCAAUGAAGAUGGGACCAAAGAGAGUAAAUGUAGGUGCUGCUGCUGAAAUGUUGUUGGGAGACUGGACUUGUCCACAGUAAAUUUCCCUUGCUCAACUUUCCCAUAGUUCUACAAGGAAUCAGCACCCUGAGAGCCUGAAAUUAACUAACAACCCUUGUGUGGCCACAGGUGUGUUUGUGAACUUUGCUCGCAAUAGCAAGUGCUUUUGCUGCCAGGAACCACAACCAAAGAGAGUUAAAUCCCGGAGAGUGGGAGUGCCCCUCGUAAGUCUCUUAUGCCAGGAUUGUUCACCUUUUUUUUUCAAAUGUCUUCUGACCUACCUUUCUGACACUGACAAUUGUUUUGUCUAGAUGCUAUUACUCGAACUUCAGGAAAAACAAGGCGUUCAAGAAGUGCAACUGUGACCGCCCUGACGAUCGGAGCAAUUUGUUUGAUGACCAUUCAUGGAGAUCUGGAAAGGUCCACCAAGAACAACACUUUAAAGUUUGGAGAUACCGAUGAUAAUAAUGAUGAAAUUGAUGACAAUGAUGAUGACAUAUUGCCUCUAUCGAAAGGGCAACUCCGUCUGAGAGGAAGACUAACCCCUGCUAGAAACUGAAGUAAUGAAUCCAUAUCAUCUUUUUGGUUAUGUUCUCCCAAAUUAUCGUAAAGAUUAUAGUCUGUUCGACAAUUUCCUUUCCUUUCUGCCUAUAAUUAUUUUGAGUAUCAGGUAUGGUUUGGCGCUUGGAAGUGUUUUUGACAUCCUUCUCAAGUCGAAUAGCUCUCCCCCAUAUUCCACUGUAAAUCUGGACACCGGAUGACGGCUUGGCAGAUGUAUUUCUAUUUGUAUAAGCAAACUGUCAUGACAAUGAUGCAGAUAACUGUGUCUGAUCAAAGACGGUUGUUGGAAAAGCCUGAUCCAACUUUUUCAUAUAUAUCGGUCGGCAAAGAUGGUUUAUGCCUUUUGUUCCACGCAAUGAAACUGUGGUGAAGCUUCAAGAAUACAGGGCUCAAUCUGAUCAACCCUAUCCUGUAUCGGUUAAUGGCUGAGGUAAUUCUUUCUUCUCCAUCUUUUCUUAGUACAUGCUACAAUUUAUGUUUUGUUUUGUUCGAGAAUGACUGCUUAUUUUAUCUUGGAAAAGCGUUCAGGGGGAACACCUCAGGAAUUUUUCGUGGAGAAAGGAGGUGGAAUGCUUCCUUGAGUGCACAUAACAUGUUCGACAAAACAGCGAACUCCAUAGGGGCCACACAAUUUGUCGUCGGAGCUCACCGAGGAGGAUGAUGAAAAGUAUCAAGUAUUAUUAUUAUAGGAAGCAAUUCUGAUAACGCUGCUGGCAGAAGCCAUGCAGAAGCUUAUCAACUACUACUAACAAUCUGCUGAUUUAUUCAUUCGAUGACCAGGUUAUUCUCAUACUUCAUUCAUGUUGCUCUCCGUCCUUCAUGCAGAUUGUGAUCAAAUAGCGAUGCUACGCGGCGGUGACCGCGAUCUUCAUGCCGGACUGGCAGUGGCCGGCGAAGCUGCAGAUGAAGUAGUUGGUGCCUCGGGCCAGCGUGAUGCGGUCCUUCCCGGAAGUGUAGACCCUGGAGCCCUUGGGAGCCGAGCAGCUAUUGUAGCCGGCCGCGCUCACCGCCACCACGUUGUGAACCGACGGGUUGUAGUUGAACACUGCCGCAGAUCGGUCAGUACCAUUAGUAAUAAUGCAAAAAUAAGUAUGCACGCAGCAGGGCAGCCAUCACUUACCGAGCACAUCGCCGGCUCUGAAGCUCUUCCCCCUGGGCCAGCUGGCGACGUUGAAGGUCCAUCCGCUGUUGCCGCCGACGACGUAGGUGGCGGCCUCGGCCACCUCACUGUGGAUGAGGAGACACAGCAGGGCCAGCCCCAGAGCC